AAUCACUUGUCUUUUAAAUGAAGACCUGUAUGAAUGGCAUAACGAAGGCUUAACUGUCUCCUUUCUCAAGUCAAUGAAAUUGAUCUCCCCGUGCAGAAGCGGGGNNGANNUCAUAAGACGAGAAGACCCUGUGGAGCUUCAGACACAAAGCAGACCUAGCAAACACUCACACAACCCAAGCUAAAAGAAUCCUGCCCUAAUGUCUUCGGUUGGGGCGACCACGGAGAAACAAACAACCCCCGCGCAGAAUAAGAGAACAUCCUCUUAAAAAUGAGAGUCACCACUCCAAAAAACAGAACUUCUGACUACAAGAUCCGGCAACACCGAUCAACGAACCAAGUUACCCCAGGGAUAACAGCGNAAUCCCCUUCAAGAGCCCA
RNAcentral lists this ribosomal RNA (380 nucleotides) under Mastacembelus erythrotaenia (fire eel). RNAcentral's name for it is "partial 16S ribosomal RNA". It matches the Rfam family "Bacterial large subunit ribosomal RNA", at positions 1963 to 2502 of the family's 2925-position model. The record is from RNAcentral. Lineage: Eukaryota; Metazoa; Chordata; Actinopteri; Synbranchiformes; Mastacembelidae.